CUGUACUUUCCUGACUUGGUGUUUACUUAACCCUCUGAAAACGACCUCCCAAGCUUCAGGCUUCACUCUCCUCCUCCAGCCACAGAAAUGAAGAUGCUGCUGUCCCCGGUCCUCCCUGGGAAGGGGAAGAGGGAAACUGCAAGUUAGGGUUAAGCCCCGCUAAUCAAAGCGAUUCAGAUUUUUCCUGCCAGUGGAUCACACCUGCCUGAGCCCCAGAGCCAGCUCUCCUGAGUCGACUGUUCUGUGACACAGCCGCUGGCGGGGGCCAGACCUCCUCCUGACUCACCGUGCGCUGAAG
RNAcentral lists this long non-coding RNA (298 nucleotides) under Heterocephalus glaber (naked mole-rat). RNAcentral's name for it is "lncRNA (ENSHGLG00100047330.1)". Lineage: Eukaryota; Metazoa; Chordata; Mammalia; Rodentia; Bathyergidae. The record is from RNAcentral.